CCCUUAGAUGUUCUGGGCUGCACGCGCGCUACACUGAUGCGAUCAACAAGUUUUUCCUAUGUCGAUAGACACGGGUAAUCUUUUGAACUCGCAUCGUGAUGGGAAUAGAUUAUUGUAAUUAUUAAUCUUCAACGAGGAAUUCCUAGUAGGUGCAAAUCAUCAGUUUGCAUCGAUUACGUCCCUGCCCUUUGUACACACCGCCCGUCGCUGCUACCGAUUGGUUGAUCUGGUGAAUUAUUCGGACUGCCGGCUGAAGGGGUUUCCUCAUCUGCCAGCGGAAAGUCUUGUUAACCCUAUCAACUAGAGGAAGCAGAAGUCGUAACA
RNAcentral lists this ribosomal RNA (324 nucleotides) under uncultured eukaryote. Its description in RNAcentral is "partial 18S ribosomal RNA". It matches the Rfam family "Eukaryotic small subunit ribosomal RNA", at positions 1470 to 1796 of the family's 1831-position model. The record is from RNAcentral.